This 407-nucleotide ribosomal RNA is filed under the name uncultured bacterium. Its description in RNAcentral is "partial 16S ribosomal RNA". It matches the Rfam family "Bacterial small subunit ribosomal RNA", at positions 30 to 526 of the family's 1533-position model. The record is from RNAcentral.
AUUGAACGCUGGCGGCAGGCCUAACACAUGCAAGUCGAGCGGAGCGGAAGACGGGUGAGUAAUGCCUAGGAAUCUGCCUGGUAGUGGGGGAUACCGUCCGGAAACGGGCGCUAAUACCGCAUACUAUCAGAUUAGCCUAGGUGGGAGUAGCUAGUUGGGGGGGUAAAGGCCUACCAAGUCGCCGAUCCGUAACUGGUCUGAGAGGAUGAUCAGUCACACUGGAACUGAGACACGGUCCAGACUCCUACGGGAGGCAGCAGGGGGGAAUAUUGGACAAUGGGCGAAAGCCUGAUCCAGCCAUGCCGCGUGUGUGAAGAAGGUCUUCGGAUUGUAAAGCACGUUAAGUUGGGAGGCGUUACCAACAGAAUAAGCACCGGCUAACUUCGUGCCAGCAGCCGCGGUAAUUC